GGGAUUACCUCAGUAACGGCGAGUGAAGCGGUAACAGCUCAAAUUUGAAAUCUGGCUCUUUCAGGGUCCGAGUUGUAAUUUGUAGAAGAUGCUUUGGGCGUAGCUCCAGUCUAAGUUCCUUGGAACAGGACGUCAUAGAGGGUGAGAAUCCCGUAUGUGAUUGGUGGCUUUCGCCUGUGUAAAGCUCUUUCGACGAGUCGAGUUGUUUGGGAAUGCAGCUCAAAAUGGGUGGUAAAUUCCAUCUAAAGCUAAAUAUUGGCGAGAGACCGAUAGCGAACAAGUACCGUGAGGGAAAGAUGAAAAGAACUUUGGAAAGAGAGUUAAACAGUACGUGAAAUUGUUGAAAGGGAAACGCUUGAAGUCAGUCGCGUUGGCUGGGAAUCAACCUUGCUCUUUUGCUUGGUGUACUUCCUAGUCGAUGGGUCAACAUCAGUUUUGACUGUUGGAAAAAGACUAGGGGAAUGUGGCAUCUUCGGAUGUGUUAUAGCCUUUAGUUGUAUGCAGCAGUUGGGACUGAGGAACUCAGCACGCCGCAAGGCCGGGAUUUAUCCACGUUCGUGCUUAGGAUGUUGGCAUAAUGGCUUUAAUCGA
This 591-nucleotide ribosomal RNA is filed under the name uncultured fungus. Its description in RNAcentral is "eukaryotic LSU rRNA". It matches the Rfam family "Eukaryotic large subunit ribosomal RNA", at positions 71 to 647 of the family's 3401-position model. The record is from RNAcentral. Lineage: Eukaryota; Fungi.